This 387-nucleotide unclassified non-coding RNA is filed under the name soil metagenome. RNAcentral's name for it is "partial contains 5.8S ribosomal RNA, internal transcribed spacer 2, and large subunit ribosomal RNA". The stretch from base 1 to 120 matches the Rfam family "5.8S ribosomal RNA", at positions 35 to 154 of the family's 154-position model. The record is from RNAcentral.
GAUGAAGAACGUAGCGAAAUGCGAUAAGUAAUGUGAAUUGCAGAAUUCAGUGAAUCAUCGAAUCUUUGAACGCACCUUGCACCCUUUGGUAUUCCGAAGGGUAUGCUCGUUUGAGUGUCAUUGUACUCUCACACUUCUAAUUCCUUUCGGGAUUGGGAGCGGUGGACUUGGGUGUUGCUGCUUUAGUUGUGGCUCACCUCAAAUAAGUUAGUGCAACUCUUGGUUGGACAUAGUACGGCGUGAGAAGUGUCUUCGCCGGCGCCUCUGUAAGGAGGGUGGCCGAUCGGGAGCUCUGUGCUUCAAACCGUCUUCGGACAAUCUUUGACAACUUGACCUCAAAUCGAGUAGGACUACCCGCUGAACUUAAGCAUAUCAAUAAGCGGAGGA